CAUACAACACUCCUUCCGUGGCCUCCAACUGCUCUUAAAUGCUAGUAAACCUCUUGAACUCAGCCAGGGUCUGUAGAGCGUAGUACUAGUACAGCACAAACAGAUCUGGGGACAAGUUUGCGCUAAACAGGGUCUGCAGAGCGUAGUACUAGUACAGCACAAACUGAUGUGGGACCAGGCUUAAGUUAGUUAGGGUGAGCAGUACUAGUAUAGUAUGCGUAAUGAAAGAGGACACAGAAGGUCACCACUCCUCCAUGUUCUCUCUGGCUCACUGUUCUAAUACAACAACCCUAGCUGUUUUCUGUCUGCUCAGAUCGUUCACAGAACACACACACACACACACACACACACACACACGCAGACACACACUGGUCAUGCUUCUCUCCCUCGUCUGCACAGUGGCAAUAACAAGCAAGUCCCUGGGGUGCAGUUGAGCUCCACAACUCCGUGACGGACGGCCACACAGACCCCAGGCGGCAGGAAGUGACAUCAGCAAAGCACUCCAACCACGAAUGUUGCUCGCCUCCAGGUCUUCUGAUGCAGCACUCCAUCACUCUCCUUCUUGGUGAAAUAGCACUUACACAGUCUGGAUGUGUGUUGGGUCAUUGUCCUGUUGAAAAACAAAUGUCUUACUAAGCCGAAACCAUCUCAAUUGAGUUAAGGUCUGAUGAUCUCCCAAGUGCCGCCACGGUCUAAGGCAUCUCAGUGCUUGAGGCGUCACUACAGACACACUGCUUGACAAUCACACAAAGCUCAAACCAGAUGAGAUUGCCUAUUGCUGUGGUAACCAUGCUGGUUAAGUGUGCCUUGAAUUGUAAAUAACUGACAGUAUCACCAGCAACGCACCCCCACACCAU
This is a non-coding RNA of Oncorhynchus mykiss (rainbow trout), 857 nucleotides long. The record is from RefSeq and is a predicted model, not a curated record. Lineage: Eukaryota; Metazoa; Chordata; Actinopteri; Salmoniformes; Salmonidae.